CUCCAUUUAGAAAAAAACAGCAGCCAUAGAUUUGGUUGUGACUUGGGUGUUGGAUCUUGUCUAAAAUGAUAGAAGUGUAUGAGUUUACUUGUCUUCAGAGUACAUGAAUCUGCAGGGAAUAAAGAUGAAAUGUUGUUUCCUUAGGUCACAAAUUUUAGAGCUCUAUUGGUUUUUGACUUCUUUUCUUUCUGUUUCCAGGACCAAAGGGUUUAAAAGGACUGCCUGGUCGUCCUGGACCAAAUGGCUUUGAUGGGCAAAAAGGCCAGCGAGGCAGACCAGGAGCUGGAAUCCCUGGGCCAGAAGGCUUCCGAGGCAAAGCUGGUGAUCCUGGUGAGGAAGGUGAAAGAGGAUCCACCAUUAAUGGUAAAAAUGGUGCUCCAGGUCCACCUGGCCCAGAUGGUCAGAAAGGUGUUCCAGGUGAUACUACAUAUGGUCCUCCAGGAAUCCCAGGCAAUAGGGGACUGCCAGGACCACCUGGUGCACAAGGAGCAAGGGGUGAUCCAGGCAUUCCUGGGCUUCAAGGUACGAAAGAUUUUAUGAAGCAUUUCUACAUAGUCAAAGGAGAAAGUCUGAGUGAGGUUACUGGUGAUAACAUUUAAACCUACUCUUGUCUGCAUCCUGUCUGCAUAAUGGUGACUAUGUAGGGUAUUCAAUAUUUUUACAUUCACGUUGUCACAGUUCAGGUUGAUCAGCCACUGA
Molecule: long non-coding RNA, 699 nt
Filed under: Anas platyrhynchos platyrhynchos (common mallard)
Lineage: Eukaryota; Metazoa; Chordata; Aves; Anseriformes; Anatidae
Description: lncRNA (ENSAPLG00000025292.1)
Source: RNAcentral